This is a ribosomal RNA of Pteropus vampyrus (large flying fox), 121 nucleotides long. NCBI's taxonomy places the organism in Eukaryota, Metazoa, Chordata, Mammalia, Chiroptera, Pteropodidae. The record is from Ensembl.
GUCUACGGCCAUGUCACCCUGAACACAAGUCCGAUCCAGUCUGAUCUCAGAAGCUAAGCACCAUCGGGCCUGGUUAGUACUUGGGUAGGAGACCACCUAGGAAGACCAGGUGUUGUAGGCG